UUGACUUCUACAUAUUUUUAGUAACCAGUCUCUUGUUUUAUUCUUUCUCCACCGGUAACUCAACAAUACUAUCUAGUUUUAUUACUAGUUAAUAAUCAACAAAGAGGUUAUCGUAACGUACAUUUACUUAGAAUUAUCAUAUAUAAAGUUAAGGUCAAAAAGAAAAGGUAGAAAAGUCAAACAAUUUAUAAAUUCAAGAUAAAACUGUUUAAAACAUGAUUUCACCGUGUAUGAGAAGAUUAACUUGCCCUGUAAAUGUCUUUAAAUUAAACUGGCCUCUUCGAGAGCCCUGUGAGCCGUGGUUUCUCUAAGGACCAAGAUAGUAGACAACGAUGAGAGACAAGAAGAAAAUAGCAGAAGUCCAAGUCUUUUCUUUCCCAUAAGUUAGAUAAGAGUAAAGAGAUAAUUUAGUUUCUACUGUUACUGUAGCUGUUUCCGAACUUUUACUAUUUUGUAACACCCACCGACGUUGACUGGCUGAGCUCGAGCGAAGUCGGAGGAGGCUAGGACGUCGAUGACAGAGGGGUUCGUUUCAGUUGGAUGUUGUUGUUCC
This 553-nucleotide ribosomal RNA is filed under the name Triticum aestivum (bread wheat). Its description in RNAcentral is "partial small subunit ribosomal RNA". Lineage: Eukaryota; Viridiplantae; Streptophyta; Magnoliopsida; Poales; Poaceae. The record is from RNAcentral.